UACGUAGGGACCAAGCGUUGUCCGGAAUCAUUGGGCGUAAAGAGCGUGUAGGCGGCUUGUUAAGUCUUGCGUGAAAUCUCGGGGCUCAACCCCGAGCGGUCGUGAGAAACUGGCAGGCUAGAGUGCGGGAGAGGAGAGUGGAAUUCCUGGCGUAGCGGUGAAAUGCGCAGAUAUCAGGAAGAACACCCGUGGCGAAGGCGGCUCUCUGGAACGCAACUGACGCUGAGACGCGAAAGCGUGGGGAGCAAACAGG
RNAcentral lists this ribosomal RNA (253 nucleotides) under uncultured bacterium. Its description in RNAcentral is "partial 16S ribosomal RNA". It matches the Rfam family "Bacterial small subunit ribosomal RNA", at positions 524 to 776 of the family's 1533-position model. The record is from RNAcentral.